GUGCAGCCGCCGCGGUAAUACGGAGGGUGCAAGCGUUAUCCGGAUUCAUUGGGUUUAAAGGGUGCGCAGGCGGAUACUUAAGUCAGUGGUGAAAUCCCGGGGCUCAACCCCGGAACUGCCAUUGAUACUGAAUAUCUGGAAUACGGUUGAAGUGGGCGGAAUGUAGCAUGUAGCGGUGAAAUGCAUAGAGAUGCUACAGAACACCGAUCGCGAAGGCAGCUCACUAAGCCGAUAUUGACGCUCAGGCACGAAAGCGUAGGGGAGCGAACAGGAUUAGAUACCCUGGUAGUCCACGCCGUAAACGAUGAUAACUCGUUGUUGGCGACACACAGUCAGCGACUAAGCGAAAGCGAUAAGUUAUCCACCUGGGGAGUACGAUCGCAAGGUUGAAACUCAAAGGAAUUGACGG
RNAcentral lists this ribosomal RNA (409 nucleotides) under uncultured bacterium. RNAcentral describes it as "bacterial SSU rRNA". It matches the Rfam family "Bacterial small subunit ribosomal RNA", at positions 505 to 916 of the family's 1533-position model. The record is from RNAcentral.